UGGCCCUUGCCCAAGUGUCUGAAGGUUACC
This 30-nucleotide non-coding RNA is filed under the name Rattus norvegicus (Norway rat). Lineage: Eukaryota; Metazoa; Chordata; Mammalia; Rodentia; Muridae. The record is from RNAcentral.